AACGAACGCUGGCGGCAUGCCUAACACAUGCAAGUCGAACGAAGCCCCCGAUUUCGGUUGGUGGCUUAGUGGCGCACGGGUGCGUAAUACGUGGGAAUCUGCCCCCAGGUACGGAAUAACUCAGGGAAACUUGAGCUAAUACCGUAUGAUGACUCCAGGGAAACCCGGGGUCCAAAGAUUUAUCGCCUGGGGAUGAGCCCGCGCAGGAUUAGCUUGUUGGUGAGGUAAAGGCUCACCAAGGCUGCGAUCCUUAGCUGGUCUGAGAGGAUGAUCAGCCACACUGGGACUGAGACACGGCCCAGACUCCUACGGGAGGCAGCAGGU
Molecule: ribosomal RNA, 324 nt
Filed under: uncultured bacterium
Lineage: Bacteria
Description: partial 16S ribosomal RNA
Rfam family: Bacterial small subunit ribosomal RNA
Source: RNAcentral